This 468-nucleotide ribosomal RNA is filed under the name uncultured bacterium. RNAcentral's name for it is "partial 16S ribosomal RNA". It matches the Rfam family "Bacterial small subunit ribosomal RNA", at positions 28 to 507 of the family's 1533-position model. The record is from RNAcentral.
GACGAACGCUGGCGGCGUGCUUAACACAUGCAAGUCGAACGGAAAGGCCCUGCUUUUGUGGGGUGCUCGAGUGGCGAACGGGUGAGUAACACGUGAGUAACCUGCCCUUGACUUUGGGAUAACUUCAGGAAACUGGGGCUAAUACCGGAUAGGAGCUCCUGCUGCAUGGUGGGGGUUGGAAAGUUUCGGCGGUUGGGGAUGGACUCGCGGCUUAUCAGCUUGUUGGUGGGGUAGUGGUUUACCAAGGCAUUGGAGGGUAGGCGGCUUGAGGGGGUGAACGGCCCCCUUGGGACUGGGGUACGGACCAGAGUGCAAAGGGGGGCAACAGGGGGGAAUAUUGGCCAAUGGGCGGGAGUCUGAGGAAGCGACGCCGCGGGCGGGAUGCCCGCCUUUGGGUUGUAAAACGCUUUCGCCUGUGACGAAGCGGUAGUGACGGUAAUGGGUAAAGAAGCACCGGCUAACUUCGUG